CAGCCAAAGAUUAGUCAAUUUUGUUUGCUUUCCCAAAAACAAAAACAAAAAUCCAACUCUUUGUUUCAUUGAUUUUUUUUUUCUGUUGUCUUUUUAGUCUCUACUUCAUUUGUUUCGGCUCUAAUCUCUAUUAUUUCCUCUCUUGUGCUGCCUUGGGACUUAGAUUAUUAUUUUUUCCUAUAUUUUAAGGUGUAAAGUUAGAUUACUUUUUUCAGCUCUUUUUUUUUUUUUUUUUUUUUCUAAAUGUAUGUGCUUAUCAUUAUAAGUAAUUGUGAUAAAUGAUGGCUGGGGGAGCUUGAGUUAACUAUAGGGCCCUUCAGGAUCUGGCGUUGCAGAUGGGAUUGUCUCCUGCUGAGCCCUGGGUUAGCAGGUCUACUGUCAGACUUUGGCUUUGAGGGGGCUAGGGACAAGUAUAGGAUGCUUUCAGGAUCUCCAGUGUCACAGGUGGGAGUAUUGCCUAGCAAGUUUCUGUACUCGUAGGGCUGUUCACUGACUGGCUGAGAUAGUCUGGAACUCAGCUAUAGGUCCCUUUCAGAAUCUGUGAUCUGGCUGUAUUUGGCAGCCUUACUUCUAGAGGCUCCCAGGCUGUGGCAAAGAGAGGGCCUGAAGCUGGUUCAUGGACCACUUCAGCACCUAUAGUUGGGACCCAGUUUUGCAUGCCUAUUACCCACCACACACAUGUGUGGGGUAAGUCCUCCCAGGUCCCCGGCAUAUAGUGCUAGUGACAGGACAAAGACAAAUGGGGCUGUAGCCAAGUCCUUAUGGGUAUAGAACUGUUUCUGGGUAUGGAGGUGGGACUUUCAUUGGCAUGUCAGCCACCUGGGGGCAAGCCUGCCUUCUCAAAAUGUCUCUCUUCAGUCUUGAAAUUCACUGAGUUUUCACAGUCUCCUACCAGGCUCCCCAAACCCCAGGAAGGCAUUUGUAUCUGUGGAUAAAUGCCACAUUAUUGUUGUUUACAGGGUAUGAAAAAGGGGGACAUCUUACUCGGCCACUUGCCUGACAUCACUCUACCUUUGGUAUUUUUGGGUGUGGUAAGUGAAAAGCAUUCAAAAUGAAAUUCAUUUUCCAAAGAGAUAUGUUAUCAUUUCAAUACAUUUAUAGAAAAUUACAUUUGUGCAUUUUCUUUUAUUGGGAUUGUGUGUAAUGUUUAAAAACAGAUGAAAAAAAGCGCUUGGAAGAAAAACAAGGUUAAUGGAAAUGAUACGAUUAUCAUAUUUUCUUUCUGGAACACAAGUUUCCUCUAUGUGUCUUUUUCUUCCUUCCUGACUCUCUCUCCCACUCUGCCUACAAAGAAGUGUUUGAUAGAUAAAUUAGGUAACUGUUCUUUGCAUGACUGAAUUGUUUGUGUUGAUACUCAGCAAUUGCAUAUUUAUGUCAACACUUUCCGAUUAUGUUCCAUUUGUAAAAUUUGAAAUCACAAGCUCCAUCCCAGCUUCAGUAGAUAACAGAUGAAAUAUGAGGCAAAGAAAUGGGGAGGAUGUCAUGCUGAUUGCUUUCUGGAAGACUCAAUUUGUAAGCUAGUGAGAACCUAUAUCUUUCCCAGUUGACCUUUCUUGUUACACUUUUUGUACUCUUUUUCUUCUAACACAAAAAUUAUCAUGGGGGUUUGUGGGAGGUUGUUUGAUUCUUGGAACUGCAUAUGUUACUUUGUGUAAUUUAUAGCAGCCCUCUGCAAAUAAUUUAUUAGUUCUUAUUGCUAAAUGCCCUGUGAAAUACUUACCAGUCCAUACUCUCAUAAAAAUAUUGAGACCUUUCCUCCACAUGCAGAUUCUUUCUUAAUUACAUUUAUUUCUGGUACUGGGAUAUUCCCAACAGUGAUGUCAAAAAGAAUGUUAUCAGCCCUUCCCUGUGUUCUAAGGUCCUCCCAGCUCCAACAACAUCUUUCUAUUGUAUUACCUGCUGUUCAGUGAAUUAUUAGCCAUCUGCUACCAGCUUGGUACUGUGAUUUAAGUAUUGUAUCAGGCGGGUACAAAGGGUAAGAAGAUAGAUGUAACACUCUCUUUCUCAGUAGGCCACUUAAUUUGCUUGACAUAUUACACCUUGUAAGUUCCUAUGUCUGUCAACAGACCCUCUCUACCCCCAACCUAGCCUGCAAGUCUGAGGUGUGUUGUUGAUUUUAAAUCUUUCCCCCUUCCAUAGCUCCACAGUAUCUAGGAUGGGCAAAAAUUUUCUAAUUCACAUAUUGAUUCAGAUCCUUAGGUAAUGGUAACUGACAGUGGUAGGGAGAACCUAAGACCAUGCAUUUGCUACUCAGAACUCAUCCAACAGGGAAGAUUUAAUGACUGAUUUGGUUUCUGUUUUUUGUUAUUUUUUCCUAGUGCCAUAUUAAAAACAUUGCUUCACAUACAUACAUUUUCCUAAUCUGUGGAAUACAAUCAUUUAAUUAUAACAGAUUUUGAUCAUAUUUUUAAAAUCUGCAUUAAAAACAAGUUCAUUAGUGGAUUUAUUGCAUAACCAUACUAGAAUCUAUGAGUACUCAAAUUUGAAUUUCUUAAAUCACAGUUAUAUUGCACUGUAACAUGUCAAGAAACAAGGGAUCUCUAUGAAUUAAUUAGACUUGUAAGCUGAGAACAGCUGUCUUGCUUGAGUUUGAACUUGAACUUGGAAGUCUUUUAUUUUGCUAAUAAUUGAAGUUUUUCAUGGAAUAUGUUAAGAAAUCUGAAAAGUAUGGAAGAAAAUUUUAAAUGGAAGUAAAAUAACUUUCAUAAUCCUAUUUGACUCACUACAUGAUUCACAUUAUUCCAUACAUUGUUAUAUUUUUGUUAUAUAUAUGUUUUAUAGUACAAUUAAAAUCAUACUGAAUAAGUAGUGUAUAGUCUAUUCAUUUUACCUAUCAUAACAUAAGAAUUCUCUGAUAUUUGUAAACUCUUCAUAACAUUAUUUUUUAUGGAUUCAGAAUAUUCAAUUAACUGAAAGUGUUUACUUCACUGAAGCAUUCCUAAUACAGUACAUUUUUGUUGAUUUCCCAUUUUUACCACAAUCAACAAUGAGCCAGUGAAUGACAUAAUAUAUUUUAGAUUCUUUUAUUUUACUGCAAGUUAACAUUCAGAGCAAAGGAAAAAGUAUUCUAAGAUAUUACUAAAAAACUUCUUUUAAAAUAAACAAAUGAAUGUUACAAGAUACAUCUUGUACAGUGUAGCUUGUCAACUUUGUUAUUUUCUUAAAUAAACCAGUCAUGUGGGUGUUGGCAACAAAGAUUCCAUCCUAGCAGGUGAUAAAUUUUUAAAUGGCUUUGUGCUGACAAUGAUUCCAGACUUUGGAUAUCCCUUGUUGUAAUAGGUACUAUGGAGGAGAUAAAAAUACAGAAAAGUUUUCAUUUUCGAGGACAGUAAAAUGCAUCAGAUCUCAGACCACAUGUUGCAUAGUGUGCUUAUUGAAGUUUUCAUCUAGAAAAGAUGGAACUAAAAAUGUUGAAAACAAUUAAUUUUAUUUUAUAUACUAUUAACUUUAGGUUGUUAUAGCAACUAUGUAUGCUUAUUGGAAACCAGCAAAAAAUAAAUUCAUCCUAGCAGCAUAUUUUUCUGAGUUUAAAGUUAGUGUAACACUUCACUCUGGACAACUUUCACAGCGUGUUCAUAAGAAGGAUCCCUUUUAGGGCAGCCUGCGUGGCUCAGCAGUUUAGCUCCUGCCUUCGGCCAAGGGCCUGAUCCUGGAGUCCUGAGAUCGGGUCCCACGUUGGGCUCUCUGCAUGGAGCCUGCUCCUCCCUCUGCCUGUCUCUGCCACUC
This 3726-nucleotide long non-coding RNA is filed under the name Canis lupus familiaris (dog). RNAcentral's name for it is "lncRNA (ENSCAFG00000050105.1)". The record is from RNAcentral. Lineage: Eukaryota; Metazoa; Chordata; Mammalia; Carnivora; Canidae.